RNAcentral lists this long non-coding RNA (2116 nucleotides) under Lathyrus oleraceus (garden pea). Its description in RNAcentral is "Pisum sativum (pea) long non-coding RNA (PSAT_LNC000803)". Lineage: Eukaryota; Viridiplantae; Streptophyta; Magnoliopsida; Fabales; Fabaceae. The record is from RNAcentral.
UCAUACAUUCACUAGCACUCAUCCACUUCAUGUACAUUUCAUACAAACAAUUCAUACAUGGCAAUACAAGUUAAAGUUUUGGUUUAAACUUUGAAUCAUCAAUUUGAGUUUACAUACAUGCAUUUUCCAUUUCAUGAGCAUGUUUACAUAAUCAUUGUAAGUGAGUUUUUUUUCCCAUUACACAGGCAUGUUACAUACAUAAGCAUGGUACAUGAAUCAUCCAUGAACUCAUUUCAUUAUAAGCAUUAAUCAUAUUAUAUCCUAUGAUAAUUACAUGGCAUACUACAUGUUGCAACACAUGGGUUUGAAUCAAAAGGAAAAACAUAAAACAUCUUGCUUUGAGUGGCAGCCCUUACCAUGAGGUUUCCAUGCACCAUAUACCUUAAUUGACCAUACUAUAUUGAGCUCAUAUUGGGCCUACAAACACAACAAUCAAUUAGCAUCAAGUCUCCAUUUGGCAACAAAUUCAUAGUAAAGCAUAAUACCACAACAUCAUAAGCAACCUGCAGCAUUCCACAUCAUCCUUCCAUCCAUCAUUAAACAAGCCUGCACAACAAUGAGAAGCACCUUCAAGCUACAUCAGUCAUAACAGCCUUGCAUCCAUCAUCAGACCAACCAUAAUAUGCCUACAACAAUGCAUCACAUCAACCUUGCAUCCAUAAAACAAAUCACCUGCAAAACAUUCAUAAGCAGCCCAUCAACACUCCCUGCAUCAUCAUUCAUCAUCAAUCAUUAAUCCAAUGCACCAUGGUUCUUGCUUCGAGCUCCAUGCUCCCUACCAACCUACAUCAAAGCAAGCAGUUCAUGAGUUUCACAUCAAUUAAGCACCCCGUCAGCAAACUUGCAUCAUAACAAUAACAUGCCACUCAAUGCAAUCAACAAACUUGCAACAAUCACAUGAAUACAAGGGAAAACUCAUGAGCAUCACACUAAUUCCAAUGGCCCUACAUUUACAAAGUACUGCACUGCAACAACCAACUACACCGAUUUAAACACAAUGUCACAAUAUUAAUACAUUCACACACCUGCAUCCUUCCAUCCAAUACAGCUAGCGGUUCACAUCAUCACAAAAUAAACAACAAUAACUAAUAGCAGCAACAUUCAAUUCACAAGACAAGGCAAGGCAAUGCAAUAAAAACUUCACAGCAAUACACAUCAAACAAAACCAAAUAUACCUCAAUUUCACUUUUUUACUGCAGUAAAACAAACAAAACCAAAAAAACUACAUUUUCACACCAAAAGGACAUAAUACAAUCACUUUUUAAGAGACAAACAUACACAAUGGAAUAGACAAUUUCUACAGCACAACCAAGCUUCUAUUCCACUACCUCUGUGCCCUUAUUUACUGUUUCAAAAACCCUAACACUCUCACUAUAAAAAGGGAAAUCCACAAAGAAAAAAAGAGGGAGAUUCUAAGAUAGCAACUUUCAGAGAUAGUAAGAAACCUAACCAUUUUUUCAGCAGAACAAACCCCUAAUUCUCUUUUUAUUCUACACUCACUCUCACUUUCCAAACCUCACUCGAAUCCCCUCAGUAGACCUCACAAAUCUCUCAACACUCACUCACUAUCAAAACAGAAGAAGAAGGAGGAAAACACACAAAAGGAAAAGAGCAAGGGAAAUAAGAAACUAACCUAAAACAAUUUGUUGUCGUUUGUUUUGCUCUGGUCAUCUUCUCCGACGAGGCAACAACUCGAGCUCACCCAUUUCAUCAAACAAGAGUUACCAUAAGGUAGAGCUCCACUUGAGGAUCAAAAACCCAAAAUCAAUUGUUUAGUUUUGUGUCAUUCCAUCAUUUAAUUUUCGAUUCUAUAGCUAGGGUUCUUGUGAUUUCUCUUUCAAUUAGGCUUAUUGGUUGGGUUUUAGUAACUAUGGUCUUGGGAUUCAUGAUCUAGGGGUUGAUACAUAAGGUUUUAUGUAUUUAGUUUCAGUAUAGGAGCUCCGCCGCCACCGACAAUGAGCUUCGGCGUGGAAGAGCGGGAAAGAGCUCCGAGGAUGCUCUCUUUAAAAUUUUAAAACAUGGGUUUGGGGUUUUUGAGCGUGUUUCAAAAUCCGUAUUUCACUUUGUUUUGGUUUGGGCUUUAAUUCCAUUGAGGCCUACACUUGUUCCUUUCUGC